CCUACGGGAGGCAGCAGUGGGGAAUAUUGGACAAUGGGGGGAACCCUGAUCCAGCCAUGCCGCGUGUGUGAAGAAGGCCCUCGGGUUGUAAAGCACUUUCAGUGAGGAAGAACGCCUGGUGGUUAAUACCCAUCAGGAAAGACAUCACUCACAGAAGAAGCACCGGCUAACUCCGUGCCAGCAGCCGCGGUAAUACGGAGGGUGCGAGCGUUAAUCGGAAUUACUGGGCGUAAAGCGCGCGUAGGUGGCUUGAUAAGCCGGUUGUGAAAGCCCCGGGCUCAACCUGGGAACGGCAUCCGGAACUGUCAAGCUAGAGUGCAGGAGAGGAAGGUAGAAUUCCCGGUGUAGUGGUGAAAUGCGUAGAGAUCGGGAGGAAUACCAGUGGCGAAGGCGGCCUUCUGGACUGACACUGACACUGAGGUGCGAAAGCGUGGGUAGCAAACAGGAUUAGAUACCCGAGUAGUC
Molecule: ribosomal RNA, 465 nt
Filed under: Vreelandella stevensii
Lineage: Bacteria; Pseudomonadati; Pseudomonadota; Gammaproteobacteria; Oceanospirillales; Halomonadaceae
Description: partial 16S ribosomal RNA
Rfam family: Bacterial small subunit ribosomal RNA
Source: RNAcentral